AUGCUGCUCACUAGGGUAAACAGGACUGCCGUGCGUUUUGUAUGCUUUCCUGCCCUGAGACAGACGCAGGGACUCUCUCUCGAAUUUAUUGUACUCUCAUCUGAGAUUCGUGGAAGUAAACAUGCGCCUCUUCUUAGUGUCACAAGCGUGGGGAGCACGCAAAAUCUGAACAGUGCCAGGAGGUAAUCCAUCUAGAAGAAUGUCGUACGAGGAACACGGCAUGGUACUUCAUUGGCUCAACAUUUAAUUUUUGUAUAAAGUUGGGCAAAACGUUCUGUGCUCCUGCCAAUGUACACGGUUUCGAAACUUGUGAGGAAUGUCAGAAGGCCUGCGGAAUUUCCGUUUGUGCCGAAAAAGUACCAAAGCCCUGGUGGAAAGAGUUCCUCGGAUUAGAUGAAGAGGAAAGACCGCUGAUAGAAGACGUUUAAAAUCUCUGUACUGAUGCAAGUCACAGAUUACACUCAGCCACGACGUGUGUUACACCACUUGUCAAGACUUCUGAAGACCAACACGGACCUUCCGCCAGAAAGACGCACGUCACUGCAGAACGAUGCCAGCGAAGCAAGAUAGCAGUGAUCGUCGCCGCCGGAUUAGACGGGUUGUGACGUCGACCGACCCGACUUCGCCAACACACCUGCACCCCUUCCGGAACGCCUCCGCUCACACUUUCUCCGAUUUCCUUUCCUAUUGAGCCUUUCAACUUCCUUUUCAAUGUUCUAGCAUGUGUUUAUAAUAAACAGUCUUGAAAUGG
Molecule: long non-coding RNA, 751 nt
Organism: Rhipicephalus sanguineus (brown dog tick)
Lineage: Eukaryota; Metazoa; Arthropoda; Arachnida; Ixodida; Ixodidae
Exons: 5
Source: RefSeq, a predicted model, not a curated record